RNAcentral lists this small nuclear RNA (246 nucleotides) under Neotoma lepida (desert woodrat). RNAcentral describes it as "7SK RNA". It matches the Rfam family "7SK RNA". Rfam says of the family: 7SK was discovered as an abundant small nuclear RNA in the mid-70s but a possible function has only recently been suggested. Two independent studies have found that 7SK RNA binds the CDK9/cyclin T complex (known as elongation factor P-TEFb). P-TEFb activates transcription by phosphorylating the C-terminal domain of RNA polymerase II. Lineage: Eukaryota; Metazoa; Chordata; Mammalia; Rodentia; Cricetidae. The record is from Rfam by way of RNAcentral.
GGACGUGAGGGUAACCUGGCUGAGACAUCUGUCGCCCUGUUGUUGCUGGUUCGUUUGGAUGAUGUUCCUGGCUACCCUCUCUUCCCAUGCCCCUUCAUGUGUAUCUCAUUUAGAACUGCACAGUCUGAAAAGAUAACUUUCUCCGAAAGAGGAGGACCAUUCUGGGCUCAAGGAUAUACAAAAAGCUCUGGUCCCCCAAUGAACCUCCAAAUCAGCUCUCAAAUUCAAAAUUGGUCUCCAGAUUUU